CCUACGGGAGACAGCAGUGGGGAAUAUUGGGCAAUGGGCGAAAGCCUGACCCAGCAACGCCGCGUGAAGGAAGAAGGCUCUCGGGACGUAAACUUCUAUUGUCAGGGAAGAGUAGAAGACGGUACCUGAAGAAUAAGCCACGGCUAACUACGUGCCAGCAGCCGCGGUAAUACGUAGGUGGCACGCGUUGUCCGGAUUUACUGGGUGUAAAGGGCGUGUAGGCGGGUUGACAAGUCAGAUGUGAAAUCCUGCGGCUUAACCGCAGAACUGCAUUUGAAACUGUUGAUCUUGAGUACUGGAGAGGCAGAUGGAAUUCCUAGUGUAGCGGUGAAAUGCGUAGAUAUUAGGAGGAACACCAGUGGCGAAGGCGGUCUGCUGGACAGCAACUGACGGUGAGGCGCGAAAGCGUGGGGAGCAAACAGGAUUAGAUACCCUUGUAGUC
This 442-nucleotide ribosomal RNA is filed under the name uncultured bacterium. RNAcentral's name for it is "partial 16S ribosomal RNA". It matches the Rfam family "Bacterial small subunit ribosomal RNA", at positions 338 to 795 of the family's 1533-position model. The record is from RNAcentral.